Molecule: ribosomal RNA, 432 nt
Filed under: uncultured bacterium
Lineage: Bacteria
Description: partial 16S ribosomal RNA
Rfam family: Bacterial small subunit ribosomal RNA
Source: RNAcentral
AACGAACGCUGGCGGCAUGCCUAACACAUGCAAGUCGAACGAGACCUCGGGUCUAGUGGCGCACGGGUGCGUAACGCGUGGGAACCUGCCCUUAGGUUCGGAAUAACUCCCCGAAAGGGGUGCUAAUACCGGAUAAUGUCUUCGGACCAAAGAUUUAUCGCCUUUGGAUGGGCCCGCGUUGGAUUAGCUAGUUGGUAGGGUAAAAGCCUACCAAGGCGACGAUCCAUAGCUGGUCUGAGAGGAUGAUCAGCCACACUGGGACUGAGACACGGCCCAGACUCCUACGGGAGGCAGCAGUGGGGAAUAUUGGACAAUGGGCGAAAGCCUGAUCCAGCAAUGCCGCGUGAGUGAUGAAGGCCUUAGGGUUGUAAAGCUCUUUUACCCGGGAUGAUAAUGACAGUACCGGGAGAAUAAGCUCCGGCUAACUCCGUG